This 596-nucleotide ribosomal RNA is filed under the name uncultured bacterium. Its description in RNAcentral is "bacterial SSU rRNA". It matches the Rfam family "Bacterial small subunit ribosomal RNA", at positions 112 to 704 of the family's 1533-position model. The record is from RNAcentral.
AAUGCCUAGGAAUCUGCCUGGUAGUGGGGGAUAACGUUCGGAAACGGACGCUAAUACCGCAUACGUCCUACGGGAGAAAGCAGGGGACCUUCGGGCCUUGCGCUAUCAGAUGAGCCUAGGUCGGAUUAGCUAGUUGGUGAGGUAAUGGCUCACCAAGGCGACGAUCCGUAACUGGUCUGAGAGGAUGAUCAGUCACACUGGAACUGAGACGCGGUCCAGACUCCUACGGGAGGCAGCAGUGGGGAAUAUUGGACAAUGGGCGAAAGCCUGAUCCAGCCAUGCCGCGUGUGUGAAGAAGGUCUUCGGAUUGUAAAGCACUUUAAGUUGGGAGGAAGGGUUGUAGAUUAAUACUCUGCAAUUUUGACGUUACCGACAGAAUAAGCACCGGCUAACUCUGUGCCAGCAGCCGCGGUAAUACAGAGGGUGCAAGCGUUAAUCGGAAUUACUGGGCGUAAAGCGCGCGUAGGCGGUUUGUUAAGUUGGAUGUGAAAUCCCCGGGCUCAACCUGGGAACUGCAUUCAAAACUGACUGACUAGAGUAUGGUAGAGGGUGGUGGAAUUUCCUGUGUAGCGGUGAAAUGCGUAGAUAUAGGAAGG